CACGUAGGGACCAAGCGUUGUCCGGAUUCAUUGGGCGUAAAGAGCUCGUAGGCGGUUCAGUAAGUCGGGUGUGAAACCUCCAGGCUCAACCUGGAGACGCCACCCGAUACUGCUGUGACUAGAGUCCAGUAGGGGAGCGUGGAAUUCCUGGUGUAGCGGUGAAAUGCGCAGAUAUCAGGAGGAACACCAGCGGCGAAGGCGGGUCUCUGGGCCGAUACUGACGCUGAGGAGCGAAAGCGUGGGGAGCGAACAGG
This 254-nucleotide ribosomal RNA is filed under the name uncultured bacterium. RNAcentral's name for it is "partial 16S ribosomal RNA". It matches the Rfam family "Bacterial small subunit ribosomal RNA", at positions 524 to 776 of the family's 1533-position model. The record is from RNAcentral.